ACUCAAAUGAAUAGACGGGGGCCCGCACAAGCGGCGGAGCAUGUGGCUUAAUUCGAUGCAACGCGAAGAACCUUACCUGGGUUUGACAUGCAGGGAAAUCCCACAGAGAUGUGGGGUCCGUAAGGGCCUUGCACAGGUGGUGCAUGGCUGUCGUCAGCUCGUGUCGUGAGAUGUUGGGUUAAGUCCCGCAACGAGCGCAACCCUCGUCCUAUGUUGCCAGCGAGUAAUGUCGGGGACUCAUAGGAGACUGCCGGGGUCAACUCGGAGGAAGGUGGGGAUGACGUCAAGUCAUCAUGCCCCUUAUAUCCAGGGCUGCACACAUGCUACAAUGGCCGGUACAAAGAGCUGCGAUGCCGUAAGGCGGAGCGAAUCUCAUAAAGCCGGUCUCAGUUCGGAUUGAGGUCUGCAACUCGACCUCAUGAAGUCGGAGUCGCUAGUAAUCGCAGAUCAGCAACGCUGCGGUGAAUACGUUCCCGGGCCUUGUACACACCGCCCGU
RNAcentral lists this ribosomal RNA (497 nucleotides) under uncultured bacterium. Its description in RNAcentral is "bacterial SSU rRNA". It matches the Rfam family "Bacterial small subunit ribosomal RNA", at positions 899 to 1397 of the family's 1533-position model. The record is from RNAcentral.